UACGGGGGGAGCAAGCGUUGUUCGGAUUUACUGGGCGUAAAGGGCGCGUAGGCGGCGCAACAAGUCACUUGUGAAAUCUCCGGGCUUAACCCGGAGCGGCCAAGUGAUACUGUCGUGCUAGAGUGCGGAAGGGGCUACUGGAAUUCUCGGUGUAGCGGUGAAAUGCGUAGAUAUCGGGAGGAACACCAAUGGCGAAGGCAGCUCGCUGGGACGUGACUGACGCUGAGACGCGAAAGCGUGGGGAGCAAACAGG
RNAcentral lists this ribosomal RNA (253 nucleotides) under uncultured bacterium. RNAcentral's name for it is "partial 16S ribosomal RNA". It matches the Rfam family "Bacterial small subunit ribosomal RNA", at positions 524 to 776 of the family's 1533-position model. The record is from RNAcentral.